Molecule: ribosomal RNA, 301 nt
Filed under: uncultured bacterium
Lineage: Bacteria
Description: partial 16S ribosomal RNA
Rfam family: Bacterial small subunit ribosomal RNA
Source: RNAcentral
CAGCAGCCACGGUAACACGAAGGGGGCUAGCGUUGCUCGGAAUGACUGGGCGUAAAGGGCGCGUAGGCGGCGAUCAAAGUCAGGCGUGAAAUUCCUGGGCUCAACCUGGGGGCUGCGCUUGAUACUUGGUUGCUUGAGUGGGGAAGAGGGUCGUGGAAUUCCCAGUGUAGAGGUGAAAUUCGUAGAUAUUGGGAAGAACACCGGUGGCGAAGGCGGCGACCUGGUCCUUGACUGACGCUGAGGCGCGAAAGCGUGGGGAGCAAACAGGAUUAGAUACCCCUGUAGUCCCUGUCUCUUAUAC